Molecule: unclassified non-coding RNA, 168 nt
Filed under: uncultured fungus
Lineage: Eukaryota; Fungi
Description: sequence contains ITS1, 5.8S rRNA gene
Source: RNAcentral
GAAAUCACCGGCCUAGCCGGUUUAAAAUUCUAUCCACCCUUGUGUGCAAAUAAUGGAAAAAGAGAGAAAAUUGGUUACUUUUUUGUAUCCAACUUCUCUAAAAUUCUUUAUAAACUCCAUCAAAUUUUGAAUGAAAACAUUUUUUUUUUUUUAAUAAAAAAUAUUAUA